GCGGGUGUGGCGGAAUUGGCAGACGCGUACGGUUCAGGUCCGUAUGAGAGCAAUCUCAUGGGGGUUCAAGUCCCUUCACCCGCACCA
This 87-nucleotide transfer RNA is filed under the name Coriobacteriaceae bacterium. RNAcentral describes it as "tRNA-Leu". It matches the Rfam family "tRNA". Rfam says of the family: Transfer RNA (tRNA) molecules are approximately 80 nucleotides in length. Their secondary structure includes four short double-helical elements and three loops (D, anti-codon, and T loops). RNAcentral also lists the same sequence under 1 other name. The record is from RNAcentral. Lineage: Bacteria; Bacillati; Actinomycetota; Coriobacteriia; Coriobacteriales; Coriobacteriaceae.